UACGUAGGGUGCAAGCGUUGUCCGGAAUUAUUGGGCGUAAAGAGCGUGUAGGCGGUCCGAUUAGUCCGCUGUGAAAGUCCAGGGCUCAACCCUGGAAUGCCGGUGGAUACUGUCGGGCUAGAGUCCGGAAGGGGCGAGUGGAAUUCCUGGUGUAGCGGUGAAAUGCGCAGAUAUCAGGAGGAACACCAAUGGCGAAGGCAGCUCGCUGGGACGUGACUGACGCUGAGACGCGAAAGCGUGGGGAGCAAACAGG
RNAcentral lists this ribosomal RNA (253 nucleotides) under uncultured bacterium. Its description in RNAcentral is "partial 16S ribosomal RNA". It matches the Rfam family "Bacterial small subunit ribosomal RNA", at positions 524 to 776 of the family's 1533-position model. The record is from RNAcentral.